Long non-coding RNA from Megalobrama amblycephala (Wuchang bream), 1062 nucleotides. RefSeq lists it as uncharacterized. The record is from RefSeq and is a predicted model, not a curated record. Lineage: Eukaryota; Metazoa; Chordata; Actinopteri; Cypriniformes; Xenocyprididae. The transcript has 5 exons.
CUACUGUAAUGGAAAUCACAACAUGGGCUCAGGAAUACUUCCAGAAAACAUUGUUGGUGAACACAAUCCACACUCAAAAAAAUGAUUCUUGCCACUAUUUGAAAUUAAGCAAAAAAAUCUAAUAAAACAUAUUUAAAAACUAAUAAAAAUACCUAUUAUUACUCCAAAUUACUUUUAUACAACAUGAAUGAAAUGGAUACAAGACCAACCUGAUCAAAUUACAUAAACUAUACUUAAUUUGUUGCCAUAAGGCGCAAAUGCAAGUGUUGCGCAUGCUCACUGAAGUCUGAGUUCAAAAUACAACAACUGAAGGCGCAAUGGCGAUCUACUGUCUGACUCGGCGAAAAGGAGGAUUUGGAUGAACAGAUGUGGAUGUUUUACAAGAAACCUCAUCAGUGGGACAAUAACUCAAUUAUGAUAUGUGAGUUUUGUGGAAACGUAAAGUGUGUGGAAGAAGCAUCACAGAAGUAUCCAAUAUGUUUAAGUAACUGAAACAUUCUAAGAUUAAACUUGGACAUUUUGAGGAGAGAUUCAGUCAACCUGUUCACAGUAAAUUAAGUAAGUGUUUUUGUUAUUUACAUUUACAUUAGAUUUUUUUUGCAAAUUACUAUAGUUUCCUCUACAGUAGGCCUCCACCUCUUCUUUCUUCCUUUUUUCCUCUCAGAUAAAAGCAGAAUUAAUGCGGAUAACGACUGUGCCACUUCUGUCAACGUUCAUAGCAGCUGGACAGAUACACUGUUGAUCAAAUGAAAGUUUUCAGCAGAAAAGGAGCUUCUGGACAAAAGAUAUCACACACAUUGCAGUUGCAGACAAGUGCGAAGAUAUACACUUCAAAUGAGUCUGUGUUAUAAAGAGUCUGUGUGUGUAUCUCAAUGGGGACAUUACAACACUUCCAGUUCUCCAGAAUUCUUCCAGAAUUCCAGGACUGCAAUCCUGAAGGAACUGAGGGAGGAAUUUCUGAGACUACUCUGGGCCCUUUUGUGACCCUUAAAGAAAGCGCUGAGGAUGAGCCAGUGGAUGUUGGCGUAGUACUACAACUACUACAAAAAACUACUACAACAC